Molecule: ribosomal RNA, 2429 nt
Filed under: Vibrio cholerae
Lineage: Bacteria; Pseudomonadati; Pseudomonadota; Gammaproteobacteria; Vibrionales; Vibrionaceae
Description: partial 23S ribosomal RNA
Rfam family: Bacterial large subunit ribosomal RNA
Source: RNAcentral
ACCCCUGUGAGGGGAGUGAAAUAGAACCUGAAACCGUGUACGUACAAGCAGUAGGAGCACCUUCGUGGUGUGACUGCGUACCUUUUGUAUAAUGGGUCAGCGACUUAUAUUCAGUGGCAAGGUUAACCGUAUAGGGGAGCCGUAGCGAAAGCGAGUCUUAACUGGGCGCUCAGUCUCUGGAUAUAGACCCGAAACCGGGUGAUCUAGCCAUGGGCAGGUUGAAGGUUGAGUAACAUCAACUGGAGGACCGAACCGACUAAUGUUGAAAAAUUAGCGGAUGACUUGUGGCUAGGGGUGAAAGGCCAAUCAAACUCGGAGAUAGCUGGUUCUCCCCGAAAGCUAUUUAGGUAGCGCCUCGGACGAAUACUACUGGGGGUAGAGCACUGUUAAGGCUAGGGGGUCAUCCCGACUUACCAACCCUUUGCAAACUCCGAAUACCAGUAAGUACUAUCCGGGAGACACACGGCGGGUGCUAACGUCCGUCGUGGAGAGGGAAACAACCCAGACCGCCAGCUAAGGUCCCAAAGUAUUGCUAAGUGGGAAACGAUGUGGGAAGGCUCAGACAGCUAGGAUGUUGGCUUAGAAGCAGCCAUCAUUUAAAGAAAGCGUAAUAGCUCACUAGUCGAGUCGGCCUGCGCGGAAGAUGUAACGGGGCUAAGCAAUACACCGAAGCUGCGGCAAUGUCUUUUAGACAUUGGGUAGGGGAGCGUUCUGUAAGCCGUUGAAGGUGAAUCGUAAGGUUUGCUGGAGGUAUCAGAAGUGCGAAUGCUGACAUGAGUAACGACAAAGGGGGUGAAAAACCUCCUCGCCGGAAGACCAAGGGUUCCUGUCCAACGUUAAUCGGGGCAGGGUGAGUCGACCCCUAAGGUGAGGCCGAAAGGCGUAAUCGAUGGGAAACGGGUUAAUAUUCCCGUACUUCUGACUAUUGCGAUGGGGGGACGGAGAAGGCUAGGUGGGCCAGGCGACGGUUGUCCUGGUUCAAGUGCGUAGGCUUGAGAGUUAGGUAAAUCCGGCUCUCUCUAAGGCUGAGACACGACGUCGAGCUACUACGGUAGUGAAGUCAUUGAUGCCAUGCUUCCAGGAAAAGCCUCUAAGCUUCAGAUAGUCAGGAAUCGUACCCCAAACCGACACAGGUGGUCGGGUAGAGAAUACCAAGGCGCUUGAGAGAACUCGGGUGAAGGAACUAGGCAAAAUGGUACCGUAACUUCGGGAGAAGGUACGCUCUUGAUGGUGAAGUCCCUCGCGGAUGGAGCUGACGAGAGUCGCAGAUACCAGGUGGCUGCAACUGUUUAUUAAAAACACAGCACUGUGCAAAAUCGCAAGAUGACGUAUACGGUGUGACGCCUGCCCGGUGCCGGAAGGUUAAUUGAUGGGGUUAGCGCAAGCGAAGCUCUUGAUCGAAGCCCCGGUAAACGGCGGCCGUAACUAUAACGGUCCUAAGGUAGCGAAAUUCCUUGUCGGGUAAGUUCCGACCUGCACGAAUGGCGUAAUGAUGGCCACGCUGUCUCCACCCGAGACUCAGUGAAAUUGAAAUCGCUGUGAAGAUGCAGUGUACCCGCGGCUAGACGGAAAGACCCCGUGAACCUUUACUACAGCUUGGCACUGAACAUUGAACCUACAUGUGUAGGAUAGGUGGGAGGCUAUGAAGACGUGACGCCAGUUGCGUUGGAGCCGUCCUUGAAAUACCACCCUUGUAUGUUUGAUGUUCUAACUUAGACCCAUUAUCUGGGUUGAGGACAGUGCCUGGUGGGUAGUUUGACUGGGGCGGUCUCCUCCCAAAGAGUAACGGAGGAGCACGAAGGUGGGCUAAUCACGGUUGGACAUCGUGAGGUUAGUGCAAUGGCAUAAGCCCGCUUAACUGCGAGAAUGACGGUUCGAGCAGGUGCGAAAGCAGGUCAUAGUGAUCCGGUGGUUCUGUAUGGAAGGGCCAUCGCUCAACGGAUAAAAGGUACUCCGGGGAUAACAGGCUGAUACCGCCCAAGAGUUCAUAUCGACGGCGGUGUUUGGCACCUCGAUGUCGGCUCAUCACAUCCUGGGGCUGAAGUCGGUCCCAAGGGUAUGGCUGUUCGCCAUUUAAAGUGGUACGCGAGCUGGGUUUAGAACGUCGUGAGACAGUUCGGUCCCUAUCUGCCGUGGGCGUUGGAAGAUUGAAGGGGGCUGCUCCUAGUACGAGAGGACCGGAGUGGACGAACCUCUGGUGUUCGGGUUGUGUCGCCAGACGCAUUGCCCGGUAGCUAAGUUCGGAAUUGAUAAGCGCUGAAAGCAUCUAAGCGCGAAGCGAGCCCUGAGAUGAGUCUUCCCUGACAGUUUAACUGUCCUAAAGGGUUGUUCGAGACUAGAACGUUGAUAGGCAGGGUGUGUAAGCGUUGUGAGGCGUUGAGCUAACCUGUACUAAUUGCCCGUGAGGCUUAACCAUACAACACCCAAGG